This is a long non-coding RNA of Neopsephotus bourkii (Bourke's parrot), 1617 nucleotides long. RefSeq lists it as uncharacterized. The record is from RefSeq and is a predicted model, not a curated record. NCBI's taxonomy places the organism in Eukaryota, Metazoa, Chordata, Aves, Psittaciformes, Psittacidae. The transcript has 3 exons.
UUUAGUUUACAGAGAGCUGGUUUCCAAUAGGUGAAUGUAGUUUAAAUGAUGAAGACAUCAUCUGUAUCAUCCCUUAUCUCUUAACAGCUCAUCAUUUCUUGAGACUCUGAUAAGUAAAGCAAAUCAAAAGCACAAAUUGCCAGCGCCUGGGAUUUUCUGCUUUGUUAUAUAGCAACAUACUAUGUGAUGAAGAAAUAAGAUCUAGAUAUACAGCAGCCCUCCUGCUUUGAAAAUCCUACCUUGAAGACUCAAUCUCACAACUCAGUAUGAGGAGGAGGAAGAAGGUCACAAAUUGCCAUGUCCAGAAUAUGGGUGGUACUUAUAGCAUUGGAGUGGUCAAUGGAUGUUGGAAUAGAUCUCUCAAAAUUGCCCUGUUCCUGAAGCCACUGAAACAAAUGCUUAGCAGGCACCUGGGAGACUUAACAGCACAGCAGGGUAUUGUGUUCCUAAACCCUUGACUCAGACCAGUCACCUAAUGAAUGUGGGGCUUUAUCCUCCCUAUCUAAUGCAAUUGUGGAUGUGCUCAUAAAUAGCUACUUCUUAAAUGUACUGGACGUGGAUGGCUCUCCUGCUAACCUAUACAUGGAAGUUAUCUCUGUAACUUGAAGUUAUGUAUUUUGUGAUCUACCUAAUGAGUAAAAGUGACCCUUAGGCCCUUGCCUGUACUGCAGUCCUGCCAAUGAGAAGCUACUUGUGAGAAUAAGGUUUUCAGGAGGGGAAUGGGGGGAUAAAGAUUAACUCUUCCAAACGGCUUUACAAAAGAGAUACAGUGCACCAUAUUAUCUAACAGCGCUCUGCCUUUUCACUCAGGGAGACAGACAUUAAGGUGCAUUAGUCCUAUCGUUUGUGUGUCUGUAAAUAUCAAUAAAGUAUGUUAUUUGGCUUUCACAUUUACACAAUGAAGGAGGAGGACUAUCUUUUUCAGGAAAUUUCACAGAGCCAUUCACAAACAAAAGCUCAGUAAUUUAAUCUUUCAAAAGCUCAAUAAUGCUAAGUUCAAAAUUGCAGGUUUUAAACUAAUGUACCUGAUAAGUAAUGAUGACAGAAUUUAAAAGGUCCAUUAUUUGGUAAUCUAAUAUUCCCAAUCCCAGUUAUCUGUCAAAGAGAAUACUCUCCCUUAAACAGUGCUAAUGUGUUCACAUCUACAUUAAUCUCUUCGGGAGAAAAGAAGCAUUCUUUACGGGCUUUAUCUGUUUCCAAAUGUCUGACUCCACAAGGAGCCAUUUCGCACUGCUGAUGAGGCUAUGUAAAUGACUCAAAUGUCUUUGUAUGAUAGGUGCGAUUUCGUACGGAUACACGUGAUACCGUAUUACUGAGAGGCACUCCCUGGCCAGCCAGCCCUCAGUGUUCAUUUACAGGCUGUGCCUACUGCUUUUGAAUCCUCUGCUGCUUCUCCACUCCAAAACAAACAUCGUGCUUACAGGUUUGCUCCUCACCUGCUUUUCUGGCAUGAUACACUGCUUUUCGGAGCAGCACAACUCCCUUCUGUUGUGUCAUCUCCCAUCAGUACUCCAAAGAGUGUGAUAUCGAUAUGACAAGAUUCACAACGUGAGAGCUUGAAUGAAUUGUGCCUCUUCUUUCUGGGAAAUUCUAUAGGAUAAUAUACAAAGAGUUAGG